This 928-nucleotide ribosomal RNA is filed under the name uncultured Planctomycetota bacterium. Its description in RNAcentral is "bacterial SSU rRNA". It matches the Rfam family "Bacterial small subunit ribosomal RNA", at positions 58 to 997 of the family's 1533-position model. The record is from RNAcentral. Lineage: Bacteria; Pseudomonadati; Planctomycetota.
CAAGUCGAACGAAUCCCGGUAGCAAUACCGGGGGAAGUGGCGAAAGGGGCAGUAAGGCGUGGAUAACCUACCCUGGGGACUGGGAUAGCCUUCCUAACGGAAGGGUAAUACUGGGCGAUCUGGCGAAGAGACAUCUAGUUGCCAGGAAAUGAAUUUCGCCUCGGGAGGGGUCCACGUGCUAUUAGCUUGUUGGCGGGGUAACGGCCCACCAAGGCGAAGAUGGCUAGCGGGUGUGAGAGCACGACCCGCGCCACUGGCACUGAGACACUGGCCAGACUCCUACGGGAGGCUGCAGUCGAGGAUCUUCGGCAAUGGGCGCAAGCCUGACCGAGCGACGCCGCGUGUGCGAUGAAGGCCUUCGGGUUGUAAAGCACUGUCGAGGGGGAGAAAGCCGCAAGGUUGAUCGACCCCUGGAGGAAGCACGGGCUAAGUUCGUGCCAGCAGCCGCGGUAAGACGAACCGUGCGAACGUUGUUCGGAAUCACUGGGCUUAAAGGGCGCGUAGGCGGGUGGCCAAGUCGGUGGUGAAAUCCUCCAGCUCAACUGGAGAAUUGCCUUCGAUACUGGUUGUCUUGAGGGGGGUAGGGGCAGACGGAACUUCCGGUGGAGCGGUGAAAUGCGUAGAUAUCGGAAGGAACGCCGGCGGCGAAAGCGGUCUGCUGGACCCCCACUGACGCUGAGGCGCGAAAGCCAGGGGAGCAAACGGGAUUAGAUACCCCGGUAGUCCUGGCCCUAAACGAUGAGAACUAGGUUGUGGACUUGACAUGGGUUCACAGCCGAAGCCAAAGUGCUAAGUUCUCCGCCUGGGGAGUAUGGUCGCAAGGCUGAAACUCAAAGGAAUUGACGGGGGCUCACACAAGCGGUGGAGCAUGUGGCUUAAUUCGAGGCUACGCGAAGAACCUUAUCCUGGACUUGACAUGUGCGAAAGC